GUACACUCCUGCGGGAGGCAGCAGUGGGGAAUUUUGGACAAUGGGGGCAACCCUGAUCCAGCAAUGCCGCGUGAGUGAAGAAGGCCUUCGGGUUGUAAAGCUCUUUUGUCAGGGAAGAAACGGUGGUGGCGAAUAACUACUACUAAUGACGGUACCUGAAGAAUAAGCACCGGCUAACUACGUGCCAGCAGCCGCGGUAAUACGUAGGGUGCAAGCGUUAAUCGGAAUUACUGGGCGUAAAGCGUGCGCAGGCGGUUGUGUAAGUCAGAUGUGAAAUCCCCGGGCUCAACCUGGGAAUUGCAUUUGAGACUGCACGGCUAGAGUGUGUCAGAGGGGGGUAGAAUUCCACGUGUAGCAGUGAAAUGCGUAGAUAUGUGGAGGAAUACCGAUGGCGAAGGCAGCCCCCUGGGAUAACACUGACGCUCAUGCACGAAAGCUUGGGGAGCAAACAGGAUUAGAAACCCCUGUAGUCCCAGG
Molecule: ribosomal RNA, 477 nt
Filed under: uncultured organism
Description: partial 16S ribosomal RNA
Rfam family: Bacterial small subunit ribosomal RNA
Source: RNAcentral